CUCGUUGGUGACAUGGACAUACCUCAUCCCCAACUGAUGUAGGAUCUCAGCAGCCUUGAGAAGAAGGAGAUCUUCCUGCAAGGCGAGGACUCACUAGCUGCAAGACAUCUUUCCCAGGGAUGAUAUGUCACCACUUGAAGACUGAUCUCACAAAGAACAAAUCAAUUCCUAGAGCUUCUUUUUAACAGUUAGCAUUCCUGGUUCCCACAGCUCAUCCUUUUUAAUAAGGUGUAAACGUGUCAAGUCAUUCUGGCAUAUUCCCCAAAGUAUUUAACCACCUAAAGACAGAUGCAGACAUCUUCAAAACCUGCUGAAUUCAUUCAGGAGGCAGCAGUGCACAUAUUUUAUCCCCAAAACACCAUAGCAAAGGAAGUGUCAGAUUUUUCUUUCUAUAGGGGACUUGGUAGAUAGAGGUCACACAAAGAUCUAUUCCAGUGCCACAUGGUGAGGUUAUUUACUGUGUGUUAUCCAGGUGUUGAGUCUAGAUGAUCUAACGAUCUUAUGACCAGAAAACCUCUUCCUCUGCCUAACACUCUGGCCCCUCCCUUUGUCACUCAUCUAUCUGCACUCAGAAAAAGCUGGCAUGUGGCUUAUUUUAUUGAUGGCCUGCUGGGUGUCCUGGGGUCAUUGUUAAUGUACUGUAAUUCUUUAUACAGUCAUUACAGCACUAUUAGAGACCUCAGGUUCGCUCUUUAAAUGGUCAUUGAAAGAGUUUUGCACAGGUUAUUGUUGCUGGUGUGGCCUCCUGCACUGCUGAGCAAAUGCCAGGCAGCAAUUUCAGAAAGUGUUACAUGCCAUCAAACCUGUACACAGUAAGCUGGUGAAAUAUGUUUCAGAGGUAUAAUUCACCCAUCCACCAGAGCACAAUAAAACACCAGCUUUACUUCUGAUUUUAUUGAUUCUGUCUGCUCUCAUCUGGUGCCUGAACAUUUUAUCUGUUCACACUGUGGGGUUUUUUCUAAUGCAAUAAAAAGAGCAGACGGGAUUUUGCCCUUUAUUUAAAAUGUUUUGCCACAUUUAGAGGUAAAUAAGAGCCACUUUUUGUGUGGUAUAUUUUCAGUCUUAGCAGAGAACACAGCGCUUUUGACACUAGGCAGGUUCUACAGGAUCCAAUCCAUAGUUUAAUAAGAAUAGUCUCUUCCUAACACCUUAUUUUUCUUUUGCCCCUAAUGAAUUUGUCUCUCUACUUCAAAGCAAAACUAAGUCUGCAAGGAGAGGAAAGGAACCAAAAUGCAUUUCCUUACAGAGGCAGAUUGGAUUGGUUGUCACAAGUCCCUGUCCCCAAGAUAAUCUCACUUUACAUCAUUUGAUCCUUGAGGUCCCUUCCAACUUGUCAUUCUGUACUAUUCCGACUUCUGCACUUGCUAUGGAAGUGGAUGUGUGCCCUUAAUUCCUCUAGCUGACAGCUGUAUUCCCAAGGUGGCAGCACCAUCCAUUAAGUCUGGUUCCUUUUUCCUCCAUCUGCUCCCUAGCUUGCUGGGAAAGCCCCUCCACCUUCACUUGAAAGGUGGCAAAGACGGCGCCCAUCAGCUUGUGCCCUGCUUGGGUAGCUUCCAAAAGGUGGCAGCCCACAAAUUGAGCACUGAGUCUCAGGUACUGCUUCCUCUGGCUUAGUAAGACACAUCUCUGGGAGAGAGGCACCUGUGUUUCUUCAUGCAGAUUAAAGGAAAAAAGGAAGAGAAAAGAUCUGGCUCUCAGCCCCUACAAAAAUGGAGUUUAAGUCACUUACAUCAGGAAUUCGAUGAGCAGGGAUCCUCACUUCCAAGCAGAUACAUCAUUUCAGAAACAAGCUGACACUUUGAGCACCAAAGCAGAUCACGGGAACCACAAUAAAAAACAGAGUCCUGCUAAAGGGAAAGAAGCCUAGCAUGGGAAUGAUGAAGCAAGAGCAGUGGGACUAAAAUUGGCAAAGGUGGGAGGAGGGGGGAAAGUGCAAAGCAGAAGAAACUGGAAUAGACUUUAAGGGCCAUAAUGCUGUUUAAUGGGGCAGAAACUGAGAGACAAGCGAGUUACAAGCCAGUCUGAUUAGCAUCUUUUCAAGACAAUUUGUAAAAGGUGACAAGUUGUAGAUUAAAUGUGUUGAUC
Pogoniulus pusillus (Red-fronted tinkerbird) is the source of this 2085-nucleotide long non-coding RNA. RefSeq lists it as uncharacterized. The record is from RefSeq and is a predicted model, not a curated record. The transcript is spliced from 3 exons. Lineage: Eukaryota; Metazoa; Chordata; Aves; Piciformes; Lybiidae.